This 24-nucleotide non-coding RNA is filed under the name Arabidopsis thaliana (thale cress). The record is from RNAcentral. Lineage: Eukaryota; Viridiplantae; Streptophyta; Magnoliopsida; Brassicales; Brassicaceae.
AAUUCCGGCUCCUCACACACAGAG